This 71-nucleotide transfer RNA is filed under the name Ovis aries (sheep). It matches the Rfam family "tRNA". From Rfam's summary of the family: Transfer RNA (tRNA) molecules are approximately 80 nucleotides in length. Their secondary structure includes four short double-helical elements and three loops (D, anti-codon, and T loops). Further hydrogen bonds mediate the characteristic L-shaped molecular structure. tRNAs have two regions of fundamental functional importance: the anti-codon, which is responsible for specific mRNA codon recognition, and the 3' end, to which the tRNAs corresponding amino acid is attached (by aminoacyl-tRNA synthetases). tRNAs cope with the degeneracy of the genetic code in two manners: having more than one tRNA (with a specific anti-codon) for a particular amino acid; and 'wobble' base-pairing, i.e. permitting non-standard base-pairing at the 3rd anti-codon position. The record is from Rfam by way of RNAcentral. Lineage: Eukaryota; Metazoa; Chordata; Mammalia; Artiodactyla; Bovidae.
UCCCUUGGGCUAGUGGCUAAGACUCUGCAUUCCCAAUGCAGGGGACCCAGGUUCAAUUCCUUGUCAGGGAA